CCAAGACUAUGAUGUGUAGCCGGGCUGAGAGGUUGAACGGCCACAUUGGGACUGAGACACGGCCCAAACUCCUACGGGAGGCAGCAGUAGGGAAUUUUCGGCAAUGGAGGAAACUCUGACCGAGCAACGCCGCGUGAACGAUGAAGUAUUUCGGUACGUAAAGUUCUUUUAUUAGGGAAGAAUAAAUGAUGGAAAAAUCAUUCUGACGGUACCUAAUGAAUAAGCCCCGGCUAACUAUGUGCCAGCAGCCGCGGUAAUACAUAGGGGGCAAGCGUUAUCCGGAAUUAUUGGGCGUAAAGGGUGCGUAGGCGGUUAAAUAAGUUUAUGGUCUAAGUGCAAUGCUUAACAUUGUGAUGCUAUAAAAACUGUUUAACUAGAGUAAGAUAGAGGCAAGUGGAAUUCCAUGUGUAGUGGUAAAAUGCGUAAAUAUAUGGAGGAACACCAGUAGCGAAGGCGGCUUGCUGGGUCUUUACUGACGCUGAGGCACGAAAGCGUGGGGAGCAAACAGGAUUAGAUACCCUGGUAGUCCACGCCGUAAACGAUGAGUACUAAAUGUUGGGUAAAACCAGUGUUGAAGUUAACACAUUAAGUACUCCGCCUGAGUAGUACGUACGCAAGUAUGAAACUUAAAGGAAUUGACGGGACUCCGCACAAGCGGUGGAUCAUGUUGUUUAAUUCGAAGGUACCCGAAAAACCUCACCAGGUCUUGACAUGCUUCUGCAAAGCUGUAGAAACACAGUGGAGGUUAUCAGUUGCACAGGUGGUGCAUGGUUGUCGUCAGCUCGUGUCGUGAGAUGUUGGGUUAAGUCCCGCAACGAGCGCAACCCUUAUUGUUAGUUGCCAGCACGUAAUGGUGGGGACUUUAGCAAGACUGCCAGUGAUAAAUUGGAGGAAGGUGGGGACGACGUCAAAUCAUCAUGCCCCUUAUGACCUGGGCUACAAACGUGAUACAAUGGCUGUUACAAAGGG
RNAcentral lists this ribosomal RNA (969 nucleotides) under Cassava witches'-broom aster yellows phytoplasma. Its description in RNAcentral is "bacterial SSU rRNA". It matches the Rfam family "Bacterial small subunit ribosomal RNA", at positions 268 to 1246 of the family's 1533-position model. Lineage: Bacteria; Bacillati; Mycoplasmatota; Mollicutes; Acholeplasmatales; Acholeplasmataceae. The record is from RNAcentral.